This is a non-coding RNA of Monodelphis domestica (gray short-tailed opossum), 597 nucleotides long. The record is from RefSeq and is a predicted model, not a curated record. NCBI's taxonomy places the organism in Eukaryota, Metazoa, Chordata, Mammalia, Didelphimorphia, Didelphidae.
CAGAGGUGCCUUGGGCUAUCUAGGAGAGGGCUAAAUAAUGGGCUUUCAGAAUUGUAUUAAAUGAUUCAAGACCCUGGAUGAUGUCUUUGAUCUCCAAGAGAUACCAUGAACAAUUCGUGUAUCGGUUUUCAACAGCCUAAUCCAUACAUCGAUUUCUCUUGCCAAGAGUCCAGUCUCUCAGAAUUUUAACUCAGCACACAUCCCCAUGAGACCUAUUCAUCCAGCCUUUACUUUCCCCACAUCAACAACUGCUGUUUGGACACACGGAACUGGAUGUCUUCUAUACAUCUCAAACUCACCAUUGUCCCAAAAUGAACUCAUCAUCCCCCUCUUUUUAGCUGCUCUCUUCUAAGCCACCUUCUCUUCUCUGAUACUGCCAGCCUGAGUGCCUCCCACCUAGACCACCGCAGGAGCUGCUUGGGGUGGGGAGAGGCCUGCCUGCCUCAAGUUUCUUCUUGAUCCAAUCUGUCCUCCAAGUUGGUGUCUGACCUGUCUGACCCAUCCAUGCUGAUGAACUGGGUUGGUCCUUUUGGGGAGGGAGGUUGGCAAGAGUAUGUUGUGUUAUUGUGUCAAUAAACUGGUUUAAAGUUGAAAAAA